UAGCGCUCCUAUCUCCGCCCACUCGACCGCCACGUGGCAGCCGAGUGAGGGCCUCGGGGUGGCAC
Molecule: non-coding RNA, 65 nt
Organism: Oryza nivara
Lineage: Eukaryota; Viridiplantae; Streptophyta; Magnoliopsida; Poales; Poaceae
Source: Rfam